Long non-coding RNA from Ornithorhynchus anatinus (platypus), 206 nucleotides. RefSeq lists it as uncharacterized. The transcript has 3 exons. The record is from RefSeq and is a predicted model, not a curated record. Lineage: Eukaryota; Metazoa; Chordata; Mammalia; Monotremata; Ornithorhynchidae.
AAAAGCAGCUGCAUCGAGGGGGAGAUUAAAGCCCUUUGCCGCCUUCCAAUCAAAUGGGAGCCCGAGGAAUUUUCUCGAGGACUGGGAAGAGGAGACUUUUGGAGCCGCAGAAAGAAUCGGAGCGACGAGUGUUCUCUCCCCGACGAGCUCCGAUGUGAAGAGGUGGAUGGGCAAUCACUGGAGGUUCUUGAGAAGCGGUGGAGGAU